This 465-nucleotide ribosomal RNA is filed under the name uncultured bacterium. Its description in RNAcentral is "bacterial SSU rRNA". It matches the Rfam family "Bacterial small subunit ribosomal RNA", at positions 338 to 795 of the family's 1533-position model. The record is from RNAcentral.
CCUACGGGGGGCUGCAGUAGGGAAUCUUCCGCAAUGGACGAAAGUCUGACGGAGCAACGCCGCGUGAGCGAAGAAGGUCUUCGGAUCGUAAAGCUCUGUUGCCGGGGAAGAACAAGUACGGUAGGAAAUGGCCGUGCCUUGACGGUACCUGACUAAGAAGCCCCGGCUAACUACGUGCCAGCAGCCGCGGUAAUACGUAGGUGGCAAGCGUUAUCCGGAAUCACUGGGUGUAAAGGGUGCGUAGGCGGUAGGGCAAGUCAGAUGUGAAAGCCCGGGGCUCAACCCCGGGACUGCAUUUGAAACGGUCUUACUAGAGUGCAGGAGAGGAAAGCGGAAUUCCUAGUGUAGCGGUGAAAUGCGUAGAUAUUAGGAAGAACACCAGUGGCGAAGGCGGCUUUCUGGACUGUAACUGACGCUGAGGCACGAAAGCGUGGGGAGCGAACAGGAUUAGAUACCCUUGUAGUC